RNAcentral lists this long non-coding RNA (1481 nucleotides) under Heterocephalus glaber (naked mole-rat). RNAcentral's name for it is "lncRNA (ENSHGLG00000048845.1)". The record is from RNAcentral. Lineage: Eukaryota; Metazoa; Chordata; Mammalia; Rodentia; Bathyergidae.
CUCACAGGUCUGUAGGUCAGAAAUCCAGCAGGGUGGGGCCAGGCCCUCUGCUUAGGACUCCGAAGGCUGAAGUCAGGUAUCAGCCCCUGAAUAACUUAGUUCCAGCACUUGUGGGCCUGAGUGCUCCACUUCCUGGCUGGCAUCCAACUGGGGAAUCCUCUCAGCUCCUCGAGGCUGCCCACACUCCUGCCCUGGAGGCCUCUCCACCUGCAGGCCAGCAAUGGCACAUUCAAUUUAUUUCACCCCUUGGACUUCACUGUCCUCUUUUUGGACCAGCGAAAGAAAAUCACCAGCUUUUAAAGGGCUCCUGUGAUUAGGUCAGGCCUACUUGGAUCAACUCUCUUAAAGUAAACUGUAGCUUACAGCAUCAUAAAAUCUCCAGCGUAAAAGACAUUAUGUCCAUAGACUUGGAAAUUAGGCAGUGGGUGUUCUCUUAAGAGGUGGGACAUGUUCUUCGGGGCUAUCUGAGAAUUUUGUCCACCGCAUCAAAGAACAUGGUAAAGGACAUUAAAAUGAUGCAAAAAAAAGUCUUAAUUAACAAUUAAGUGAGCUAUUUCUAUCUUGUUUCUCUCAACUUUAUACUUCAGUGAUAACCACACAACAGUUUUCUUAUAUAUCCUUCCAGGAAAAAAAAUAAGAAAGAUGCAUAUAUAUCCCUACAUUUCCUCUUUAAAUGUAAGUAAGUAGCAUCAUAUUGCUGAUUUCAUGUAAUCUCUUUUGGAGCUCCUUAGCGACCAAUGUGAAUCUGCAGCACUCUUUAUCACAUCUACAUGGAAGUCGCUUUCUCCUUUCUUUAAUAGUUACAGAAGAAUAAGCAAAGAAAUCAACAAUAAAUCACCUCUAAAAUAGAUAUAGAUUAUUUACUGUUUCCCAAAGAUUUUUAUAUUAUGUACAGAGUUUGCAUCAGGUCUAUUGUUCUACCUGAAACACUAAUUUCUUUCAAAACAUACACAUUCUCCAGGAGUCCCUGUUUUGGGGGAGAGUCAGCAUAUUCUACUGUAAAGCAAAUAUAAAGGGCAACUUCUUAGGGAAAUGAUCUCUUUAGGAUUUCAACAGGAUUUUCUCACACAUGAUGGAAGAGUACCAUAAAGAAGGAGGUAAAACAAGAAAAGAAAGUUUUGCGCUAUUUUUUAUUGGUUUCUUUUUUGUCUAUGACUUGUACUCUAACAUGUUGGCCAUUCUUUUAAGAUUAAGGUACAGAGUGUAUUAACUAAUGUUAUUCUUUAAUUACUUGUUAUGAAAUGUUGCUUUAUUUUCCCAUAGAAGUAAGAAGACCUUUUUAAAAAUUUUGUUUAUUAAUAUCUACUUGUAUUACACUGAAAUAAAAAAGAAGGAUAAAGAGAAGGAGAAGAAGGGCGGGGGAAGGAAAUACAAAAGCAAAAGAAAUCAGAUUAAGGUUAAAUUGAAGCCUGGAGUCCAUCUAUGCUCAGAGCAGAAAUAAAAGUCCACCCUCUCAUCAUUCACAUCUUUUCUCCAUAGCA